Molecule: long non-coding RNA, 652 nt
Organism: Triplophysa rosa
Lineage: Eukaryota; Metazoa; Chordata; Actinopteri; Cypriniformes; Nemacheilidae
Exons: 3
Source: RefSeq, a predicted model, not a curated record
UUUUUGAAGAAACAUCUGAGAGCAAGCUUAACUCAAAUACAGCAUAACUAAAAACCCCUAUACACAUCUGGGCAAGCCGGGACAUCUUCCUGCUCCACUCUAUGAAGUGAUUCCAAUCUUUUAUGUCUGACUUCUGAACUCGCAGUAUUUCCCCAUUACCUGCUUCUGCAAGCUGCCUGAAUAGAGAUUUGACCUGCUGUCAGCUUUUUUCAAUCUCCUCUCCACACUGGCUUUGUAUUCAGUCUGCCUUGGCUACAACAGCAGUCAUCUGGUACAUAUUACCUGCACACAUGCUCCAGACAGCACCGGUUGACAUUCAGGGUUAAACAAAUCCAUCCAGCGUACAGACCAUAGAUCAGCCCGACACCGGUGCUCUCACACUGGCUACUGUAUACAUCCUCUCUGCCUGUUUUGCUAUAGCUGAAAUGGACCGAACAGCUUCUCCUAAUACAGAUUUCAUUUACUUGCUUUUCCUACCAGCAGAUUCUUGCAGCGGGAGCGUACGGUACAGUAUGUUAUUUAUAGGGGCAGCCGUCUGAGGUGCCCUGAGGCUAAAGAGCUGAAAUCAAUAAACAGUUGCGUCACUUUUGUGCAUAAACUUUCUUGUUAAAUGCGUUGAAAAUGCAUCUCGAGUAUUUAGAUGAAGUCAUUU